GAAUUUUGGACAAUGGGCGAAAGCCUGAUCCAGCAAUGCCGCGUGCAGGAUGAAGGCCUUCGGGUUGUAAAAUGCUUUUGUACGGAACGAAAAGCUUUGGGUUAAUACCCUGGAGUCAUGACGGUACCGUAAGAAAAAGCACCGGCUAACACAGUGCCAGAAGCCGAGGUAAAACGGAGGGUGCAAGCGUUAAUCGGAAUUUCUGGGCGUAAAGCGUGCGCAGGCGGUUUUGGAAGACAGAGGUGAAAUCCCCGGGCUCAACCUGGGAACUGCCUUUGUGACUGCAAGGCUAGAGUACGGCAGAGGGGGGUGGAAUUCCGCGUGUAGCAGUGAAAUGCGUAGAUAUGCGGAGGAACACCGAUGGCGAAGGCAACCCCCUGGGCCUGUACUGACGCUCAUGCACGAAAGCGUGGGGAGCAAACA
This 423-nucleotide ribosomal RNA is filed under the name uncultured bacterium. Its description in RNAcentral is "partial 16S ribosomal RNA". It matches the Rfam family "Bacterial small subunit ribosomal RNA", at positions 359 to 774 of the family's 1533-position model. The record is from RNAcentral.